Molecule: ribosomal RNA, 825 nt
Filed under: uncultured bacterium
Lineage: Bacteria
Description: bacterial SSU rRNA
Rfam family: Bacterial small subunit ribosomal RNA
Source: RNAcentral
CGGUAGCAGCAGAGAGCUUGCUCUCUGGCUGACGAGUGGCGGACGGGUGAGUAAGGCAUCGGGACCUGCCCUGUUGUGGGGGAUAACCCGGGGAAACCCGGACUAAUACCGCAUACGCCCUACGGGGGAAAGCGGGGGACUCUUCGGAGCCUCGCGCGGCAGGAUGGACCGAUGUACGAUUAGCUUGUUGGUGGGGUAACGGCCUACCAAGGCGACGAUCGUUAGCUGGUCUGAGAGGAUGAUCAGCCACACCGGGACUGAGACACGGCCCGGACUCCUACGGGAGGCAGCAGUGGGGAAUAUUGGACAAUGGGGGAAACCCUGAUCCAGCAAUGCCGCGUGUGUGAAGAAGGCCUUCGGGUUGUAAAGCACUUUUAUCGGGAACGAAACCUUGUCGGCCAAUACCCGGCAAGACUGACGGUACCCGAGGAAUAAGCACCGGCUAACUCCGUGCCAGCAGCCGCGGUAAUACGGAGGGUGCAAGCGUUAAUCGGAAUUACUGGGCGUAGAGGGUGCGUAGGUGGUGAGUUAAGUCUGAUGUGAAAGCCCCGGGCUCAACCUGGGAAUGGCAUUGGAAACUGGCUCGCUGGAGUGUGAUAGAGGAUGGCGGAAUUCCCGGUGUAGCGGUGAAAUGCGUAGAGAUCGGGAGGAACAUCAGUGGCGAAGGCGGCCAUCUGGAUCAACACUGACACUGAGGCACGAAAGCGUGGGGAGCAAACAGGAUUAUAUACCCUGGUAGUCCACGCCCUAAACGAUGCGAACUGGAUGUAGGUCUCAACUCGGAGAUCUGUGUCGAAGCCAACGCGUUUAGUUCGCCGCCUGGGG